Molecule: ribosomal RNA, 253 nt
Filed under: uncultured bacterium
Lineage: Bacteria
Description: partial 16S ribosomal RNA
Rfam family: Bacterial small subunit ribosomal RNA
Source: RNAcentral
UACGGAGGGUGCAAGCGUUGCUCGGAAUCAUUGGGCGUAAAGCGUACGCAGGCUGUUCGUUAAGUCGGGUGUGAAAGCCCAGGGCUCAACCCUGGAAUGGCGCCCGAAACUGGCGAGCUUGAGUGCGGGAGAGGGAAGCGUAAUUCCUGGUGUAGAGGUGAAAUUCGUAGAUAUCAGGAGGAACACCGGUGGCGAAAGCGGCUUCCUGGCCCGACACUGACGCUCAUGUACGAAAGCGUGGGGAGCAAACAGG